AGUCCCGCAAGAGCCAAAGUGCAAAUUUGGAGAAGCACCCCAAAAGGUGCCGGGGCUU
This 58-nucleotide transfer RNA is filed under the name Cyrtodactylus peguensis. Its description in RNAcentral is "tRNA Cys". The record is from RNAcentral. Lineage: Eukaryota; Metazoa; Chordata; Lepidosauria; Squamata; Gekkonidae.